CACUAUCGUUAACUGAAUACAUAGGUUAACGAGGCGAACCGGGGGAACUGAAACAUCUAAGUACCCCGAGGAAAAGAAAUCAACCGAGAUUCCCCCAGUAGCGGCGAGCGAACGGGGAGCAGCCCAGAGUCUGAAUCAGCUUGUGUGUUAGUGGAACGGUCUGGAAAGUCCGACGGUACAGGGUGAUAGUCCCGUACACCAAAAUGCACAGGCUGUGAACUCGAAGAGUAGGGCGGGACACGUGGUAUCCUGUCUGAAUAUGGGGGGACCAUCCUCCAAGGCUAAAUACUCCUGACUGACCGAUAGUGAACCAGUACCGUGAGGGAAAGGCGAAAAGAACCCCGGCGAGGGGAGUGAAAAAGAACCUGAAACCGUGUACGUACAAGCAGUGGGAGCACCUUCGGGUGUGACUGCGUACCUUUUGUAUAAUGGGUCAGCGACUUAUAUUCUGUAGCAAGGUUAACCGUAUAGGGGAGCCGCAGGGAAACCGAGUCUUAACUGGGCGUUAAGUUGCAGGGUAUAGACCCGAAACCCGGUGAUCUAGCCAUGGGCAGGUUGAAGGUUGGGUAACACUAACUGGAGGACCGAACCGACUAAUGUUGAAAAAUUAGCGGAUGACUUGUGGCUGGGGGUGAAAGGCCAAUCAAACCGGGAGAUAGCUGGUUCUCCCCGAAAGCUAUUUAGGUAGCGCCUCGUGAAUUCAUCUUCGGGGGUAGAGCACUGUUUCGGCUAGGGGGUCAUCCCGACUUACCAACCCGAUGCAAACUACGAAUACCGAAGAAUGUUAUCACGGGAGACACACGGCGGGUGCUAACGUCCGUCGUGAAGAGGGAAACAACCCAGACCGCCAGCUAAGGUCCCAAAGUCAUGGUUAAGUGGGAAACGAUGUGGGAAGGCACAGACAGCCAGGAUGUUGGCUUAGAAGCAGCCAUCAUUUAAAGAAAGCGUAAUAGCUCACUGGUCGAGUCGGCCUGCGCGGAAGAUGUAACGGGGCUAAACCAUGCACCGAAGCUGCGGCAGCGACGCUUAUGCGUUGUUGGGUAGGGGAGCGUUCUGUAAGCCUGCGAAGGUGACCUGUGAGGGUUGCUGGAGGUAUCAGAAGUGCGAAUGCUGACAUAAGUAACGAUAAAGCGGGUGAAAAGCCCGCUCGCCGGAAGACCAAGGGUUCCUGUCCAACGUUAAUCGGGGCAGGGUGAGUCGACCCCUAAGGCGAGGCCGAAAGGCGUAGUCGAUGGGAAACAGGUUAAUAUUCCUGUACUUGGUGUUACUGCGAAGGGGGGACGGAGAAGGCUAUGUUAGCCGGGCGACGGUUGUCCCGGUUUAAGCAUGUAGGCUGGUUGUCCAGGCAAAUCCGGAUAAUCAAGGCUGAGGUGUGAUGACGAGGCACUACGGUGCUGAAGUAACAAAUGCCCUGCUUCCAGGAAAAGCCUCUAAGCAUCAGGUAACAUUAAAUCGUACCCCAAACCGACACAGGUGGUCAGGUAGAGAAUACCAAGGCGCUUGAGAGAACUCGGGUGAAGGAACUAGGCAAAAUGGUGCCGUAACUUCGGGAGAAGGCACGCUGGUGUGUAGGUGAAGUCCCUGCGGAUGGAGCUGAGACCAGUCGAAGAUACCAGCUGGCUGCAACUGUUUAUUAAAAACACAGCACUGUGCAAACACGAAAGUGGACGUAUACGGUGUGACGCCUGCCCGGUGCCGGAAGGUUAAUUGAUGGGGUUAUCCGUAAGGAGAAGCUCUUGAUCGAAGCCCCGGUAAACGGCGGCCGUAACUAUAACGGUCCUAAGGUAGCGAAAUUCCUUGUCGGGUAAGUUCCGACCUGCACGAAUGGCGUAAUGAUGGCCAGGCUGUCUCCACCCGAGACUCAGUGAAAUUGAACUCGCUGUGAAGAUGCAGUGUACCCGCGGCAAGACGGAAAGACCCCGUGAACCUUUACUAUAGCUUGACACUGAACAUUGAGCCUUGAUGUGUAGGAUAGGUGGGAGGCUUUGAAGCGUGGACGCCAGUCUGCGUGGAGCCAACCUUGAAAUACCACCCUUUAAUGUUUGAUGUUCUAACGUUGGCCCCUUACCGGGGUUGCGGACAGUGUCUGGUGGGUAGUUUGACUGGGGCGGUCUCCUCCCAAAGCGUAACGGAGGAGCACGAAGGUUAGCUAAUCCUGGUCGGACAUCAGGAGGUUAGUGCAAUGGCAUAAGCUAGCUUGACUGCGAGCGUGACGGCGCGAGCAGGUGCGAAAGCAGGUCAUAGUGAUCCGGUGGUUCUGAAUGGAAGGGCCAUCGCUCAACGGAUAAAAGGUACUCCGGGGAUAACAGGCUGAUACCGCCCAAGAGUUCAUAUCGACGGCGGUGUUUGGCACCUCGAUGUCGGCUCAUCACAUCCUGGGGCUGAAGUAGGUCCCAAGGGUAUGGCUGUUCGCCAUUUAAAGUGGUACGCGAGCUGGGUUUAGAACGUCGUGAGACAGUUCGGUCCCUAUCUGCCGUGGGCGCUGGAGAAUUGAGGGGGGCUGCUCCUAGUACGAGAGGACCGGAGUGGACGCAUCACUGGUGUUCGGGUUGUCAUGCCAAUGGCACUGCCCGGUAGCUAAAUGCGGAAGAGAUAAGUGCUGAAAGCAUCUAAGCACGAAACUUGCCCCGAGAUGAGUUCUCCCUGAGACUUUAAGUCUCCUGAAGGAACGUUAAAGACGAUGACGUUGAUAGGCCGGGUGUGUAAGCGCAGCGAUGCGUUGAGCUAACCGGUACUAAUGAACCGUGAGGCUUAACCUU
Molecule: ribosomal RNA, 2759 nt
Filed under: Klebsiella pneumoniae
Lineage: Bacteria; Pseudomonadati; Pseudomonadota; Gammaproteobacteria; Enterobacterales; Enterobacteriaceae
Description: bacterial LSU rRNA
Rfam family: Bacterial large subunit ribosomal RNA
Source: RNAcentral